RNAcentral lists this ribosomal RNA (435 nucleotides) under Triticum aestivum (bread wheat). Its description in RNAcentral is "partial small subunit ribosomal RNA". The record is from RNAcentral. Lineage: Eukaryota; Viridiplantae; Streptophyta; Magnoliopsida; Poales; Poaceae.
CCGGUCCCAACGACUGGUACCUCGACACCGGGGCCUCCGCACACGUCACCGGUAACGCAGGACCUGGCAACGCGGACCCCCCUAAUGAGGCGCAAUAGCUCCGGCCCGCUCUACCGGUGCAGUGGCCCAAAUCCUUCGGCGUUCUUCCUCGACACCGGCGAGAUUUGGCAUCGCCGUUUGGGGCACCCCGGGCGUGGCUCCCUUUCCCGUUUAGCGCACCAAUUUCUUCCAGAUUGUAAUAAACUUCCUUCCCCCUCUCAUUCAUGUGAGGCAUGCCAACUAGGGAAGCACGCACGGUUGCCUUUUUUAGCUUCUAGCACUGUUACAACUUUUCCGUUUCAAAUAAUUCACUGUGACCUAUGGACCUCGCCGGUGGCUAGUUGUUCCGGCUAUAAAUAUUACUUGAUCAUAAUGGAUGAUUUUUCUCAUUAUAGA